UACGUAGGGUGCAAGCGUUGUCCGGAAUUAUUGGGCGUAAAGAGCUCGUAGGCGGCUUGUCACGUCGACUGUGAAAACCCGGGGCUCAACUCCGGGCCUGCAGUCGAUACGGGCUGGCUUGAGUGCGGUAGGGGAGACUGGAAUUCCUGGUGUAGCGGUGAAAUGCGCAGAUAUCAGGAGGAACACCGAUGGCGAAGGCAGGUCUCUGGGCCACAACUGACGCUGAGAAGCGAAAGCAUGGGGAGCGAACAGG
RNAcentral lists this ribosomal RNA (253 nucleotides) under uncultured bacterium. RNAcentral's name for it is "partial 16S ribosomal RNA". It matches the Rfam family "Bacterial small subunit ribosomal RNA", at positions 524 to 776 of the family's 1533-position model. The record is from RNAcentral.